UACGAAAGGUGCAAGCGUUACUCGGAAUCACUGGGCGUAAAGCGCACGUAGGCGGACUCGCAGGUCAAUUGUGAAAUACCCGGGCUCAACCCGGGAACUGCAGUUGAAACCGCUUGUCUUGAAUACCUGAGAGGGUGGGGGAAUACCUGGUGGAGAAGUGAAAUUCGUAGAGAUCAGGUGGAACACCGGAGGCGAAGGCGCCUGCCUGGCAGUGUAUUGACGCUGAGGCGCGAAAGUGCGGGGAGCAAACAGG
This 253-nucleotide ribosomal RNA is filed under the name uncultured bacterium. Its description in RNAcentral is "partial 16S ribosomal RNA". It matches the Rfam family "Bacterial small subunit ribosomal RNA", at positions 524 to 776 of the family's 1533-position model. The record is from RNAcentral.